RNAcentral lists this microRNA precursor (88 nucleotides) under Canis lupus familiaris (dog). RNAcentral describes it as "mir-8799 microRNA precursor family". It matches the Rfam family "mir-8799 microRNA precursor family". Lineage: Eukaryota; Metazoa; Chordata; Mammalia; Carnivora; Canidae. The record is from Rfam by way of RNAcentral. RNAcentral also lists the same sequence under 1 other name.
GGGAGCGUCGGAUCCUGGGCUCUGUCCCCGGUGCCCUGGGAUCUGGGGCCUGCGCUGCUGGAAUCGCGCUCCCGGGGCCCCGGCUCCC